UGGGGAAUUUUGGACAAUGGGCGAAAGCCUGAUCCAGCAAUGCCGCGUGUGUGAAGAAGGCCUUCGGGUUGUAAAGCACUUUUGUCCGGAAAGAAAUCCUUGGCUCUAAUACAGUCGGGGGAUGACGGUACCGGAAGAAUAAGCACCGGCUAACUACGUGCCAGCAGCCGCGGUAAUACGUAGGGUGCAAGCGUUAAUCGGAAUUACUGGGCGUAAAGCGUGCGCAGGCGGUUUGCUAAGACCGAUGUGAAAUCCCCGGGCUCAACCUGGGAACUGCAUUGGUGACUGGCAGGCUAGAGUAUGGCAGAGGGGGGUAGAAUUCCACGUGUAGCAGUGAAAUGCGUAGAGAUGUGGAGGAAUACCGAUGGCGAAGGCAGCCCCCUGGGCCAAUACUGACGCUCAUGCACGAAAGCGUGGGGAGCAAACAGGAUUAGAUACCCUGGUAGUCCACGCCCUAAACGAUGUCAACUAGUUGUUGGGGAUUCAUUUCCUUAGUAACGUAGCUAACGCGUGAAGUUGGCCGCCUGGGGAGUACGGUCGCAAGAUUAAAAACUUAAAGGAAUUGACGGGGUCAUAGCUGUUUCCU
RNAcentral lists this ribosomal RNA (586 nucleotides) under uncultured bacterium. RNAcentral describes it as "partial 16S ribosomal RNA". It matches the Rfam family "Bacterial small subunit ribosomal RNA", at positions 355 to 1375 of the family's 1533-position model. The record is from RNAcentral.